This 301-nucleotide ribosomal RNA is filed under the name uncultured bacterium. RNAcentral describes it as "partial 16S ribosomal RNA". It matches the Rfam family "Bacterial small subunit ribosomal RNA", at positions 509 to 809 of the family's 1533-position model. The record is from RNAcentral.
CAGUCGCCGCGGUAAUACAGAGGGUGCGAGCGUUAAUCGGAUUUACUGGGCGUAAAGCGUGCGUAGGCGGCUUUUUAAGUCGGAUGUGAAAUCCCUGAGCUUAACUUAGGAAUUGCAUUCGAUACUGGGAAGCUAGAGUAUGGGAGAGGAUGGUAGAAUUCCAGGUGUAGCGGUGAAAUGCGUAGAGAUCUGGAGGAAUACCGAUGGCGAAGGCAGCCAUCUGGCCUAAUACUGACGCUGAGGUACGAAAGCAUGGGGAGCAAACAGGAUUAGAGACCCCCGUAGUCCCUGUCUCUUAUAU